UGCAAGUCGAGCGAACAGAUGAGAAGCUUGCUUCUCUGAUGUUAGCGGCGGACGGGUGAGUAACACGUGGGUAACCUACCUAUAAGACUGGGAUAACUCCGGGAAACCGGGGCUAAUACCGGAUAAUAUUUUGAACCGCAUGGUUCAAUAGUGAAAGACGGUUUCGGCUGUCACUUAUAGAUGGACCCGCGCCGUAUUAGCUAGUUGGUAAGGUAAUGGCUUACCAAGGCGACGAUACGUAGCCGACCUGAGAGGGUGAUCGGCCACACUGGAACUGAGACACGGUCCAGACUCCUACGGGAGGCAGCAGUAGGGAAUCUUCCGCAAUGGGCGAAAGCCUGACGGAGCAACGCCGCGUGAGUGAUGAAGGUCUUCGGAUCGUAAAACUCUGUUGUUAGGGAAGAACAAAUUUGUUAGUAACUGAACAAGUCUUGACGGUACCUAACCAGAAAGCCACGGCUAACUACGUGCCAGCAGCCGCGGUAAUACGUAGGUGGCAAGCGUUAUCCGGAAUUAUUGGGCGUAAAGCGCGCGUAGGCGGUUUCUUAAGUCUGAUGUGAAAGCCCACGGCUCAACCGUGGAGGGUCAUUGGAAACUGGGAAACUUGAGUGCAGAAGAGGAGAGUGGAAUUCCAUGUGUAGCGGUGAAAUGCGCAGAGAUAUGGAGGAACACCAGUGGCGAAGGCGGCUCUCUGGUCUGUAACUGACGCUGAUGUGCGAAAGCGUGGGGAUCAAACAGGAUUAGAUACCCUGGUAGUCCACGCCGUAAACGAUGAGUGCUAAGUGUUAGGGGGUUUCCGCCCCUUAGUGCUGCAGCUAACGCAUUAAGCACUCCGCCUGGGGAGUACGACCGCAAGGUUGAAACUCAAAGGAAUUGACGGGGACCCGCACAAGCGGUGGAGCAUGUGGUUUAAUUCGAAGCAACGCGAAGAACCUUACCAAAUCUUGACAUCCUUUGACCGCUCUAGAGAUAGAGUCUUCCCCUUCGGGGGACAAAGUGACAGGUGGUGCAUGGUUGUCGUCAGCUCGUGUCGUGAGAUGUUGGGUUAAGUCCCGCAACGAGCGCAACCCUUAAGCUUAGUUGCCAUCAUUAAGUUGGGCACUCUAGGUUGACUGCCGGUGACAAACCGGAGGAAGGUGGGGAUGACGUCAAAUCAUCAUGCCCCUUAUGAUUUGGGCUACACACGUGCUACAAUGGAUAAUACAAAGGGCAGCGAAUCCGCGAGGCCAAGCAAAUCCCAUAAAAUUAUUCUCAGUUCGGAUUGUAGUCUGCAACUCGACUACAUGAAGCUGGAAUCGCUAGUAAUCGUAGAUCAGCAUGCUACGGUGAAUACGUUCCCGGGUCUUGUACACACCGCCCGUCACACCACGAGAGUUUGUAACACCCGAAGCCGGUGGAGUAACCUUUUAGGAGCUAGG
This 1418-nucleotide ribosomal RNA is filed under the name bacterium. RNAcentral describes it as "bacterial SSU rRNA". It matches the Rfam family "Bacterial small subunit ribosomal RNA". The record is from RNAcentral.